Molecule: long non-coding RNA, 448 nt
Organism: Orbicella faveolata
Lineage: Eukaryota; Metazoa; Cnidaria; Anthozoa; Scleractinia; Merulinidae
Source: RefSeq, a predicted model, not a curated record
UGGCGUAGAAAGAGCAGAAUUUCUUCUGAAGCAAGCACUUUAUGAAGAUGAAAGGGGCAGACCUAAUGAUGCACUGCCACUGUAUACUGAUGCAGCAGCACUCUGCAUCAAAACAAGCAGUGGCCUAUCAGAUGAUGAUGACUUAAAGAAAAAACUUCAUCAUCUAGCUAAACAGGCAAUAGAAAGAGCUGAAGCAAUAAAAGGAAUUUUGAACAAACCUGGAACCUCAACAUCAGGGUCAGCAUCAGUAACCAAAGGUGUAAAAGACCUCUCUCUGAGGUCCUCUGGAGAGUCCACCCCUGGGGGUAGUACUGGGGACAAAAGACCUCAUCUUACUGCGAAGGAGCUGGAUGUCUUAAAGAAAACAUCCUACAUAAAUGGCAAGCUGUUCCCCCCAUGGCUGGAUAUUGAUCUGAAGGAAAGAUUUGCUUAUCCCGAUUAUUACAGG